Sycon ciliatum is the source of this 955-nucleotide long non-coding RNA. RefSeq lists it as uncharacterized. The transcript has 3 exons. The record is from RefSeq and is a predicted model, not a curated record. Lineage: Eukaryota; Metazoa; Porifera; Calcarea; Leucosolenida; Sycettidae.
AACAAGCGUGUACCUAGUGUACAGAUGUGAGUGUGUAGUGUGAAAAGCUUGACUGUGCACACCAGGGGAUAGCACCGAUGACUAGUCGACUGGGCAGUAGGUCUAGGUACUGGCACUACUGCUAGUAGUAGGUGUCCUCAUUCUCAGCAUUCUGUGCGCAUAAUAAUACAUGACAGUCAGUGUGGACAUGAACUUGUACCUACAUACAGAUUAUCUCUUUUCUCUUGGUGAAAAUCAAGCAAGUGUUUGAUUUCAAAGCGCUAAGGCCUGAGGCCGACUUCGAGCGCUUCAUUCAGCACAAAAACCAUCUGCCAAUUCUAGUGUUAGCGACUGACGGUCAAAGCUUUCAGCGGCUAGCGGGUCGGUUGGAAGCAGUCGUUACAGCCCCACGCUGCGCUUGCACACCGGGUGGGGCCAGUGCCGUUUGUAGAUGGACGGGCUUGAGUUGGCAAUUGGUGACGCAUUCUCAUCCCCUGCUACAUUGUGGAGCGCAGAAGCUGCUACAAGGACAUACAAAACCCAGCAUCAUGGCUGAGAAACCAUCCAAGCUUGAAGAAUGUAAGUCAAUGUUUCCUAGCCCUCUACUUGUUUAUAACUAGUGUAUUUUGUCAUGUAGACCACGCCGGCUCUCAAAUGUGACGUCAAUAAUCUCAAGGCAUGAGUUGCACAGUGCGCAUAUUGAACACACUGCAUAGUUCACUUUACAUGUACAAGGAGUCAUAGGGAAUGUGUUUAACCAGUUUGGAUGUGAAGUAAGUUUGAAUGAGCUGCAAUGAUUUACUGUUUGUUCCUUUGUCCUUUGUUUGUGGCUAUUUUCCAUUUUUGCUUGCCCGGAAUGAUUUAAUUAAUCUUCACUUCACCAUUGCUGUGUCGGCUCAUCUCUUUGUUUGGAUUGUUAGCAUAUGGAUGUUGGUGAUGCUAACCGCACCAUGGAAAUAAAUAAUUGCUAGCCCUC